Molecule: transfer RNA, 70 nt
Filed under: Fusarium acuminatum CS5907
Lineage: Eukaryota; Fungi; Ascomycota; Sordariomycetes; Hypocreales; Nectriaceae
Description: tRNA-Pro
Source: RNAcentral
AGCUUGCUAUUCUUCGAGAGUUAGAGGAAUAGCAAACUAGGAAUAAGCUAAGCAUGAAUACAGCAAGCUA